Molecule: long non-coding RNA, 162 nt
Organism: Spea bombifrons (plains spadefoot toad)
Lineage: Eukaryota; Metazoa; Chordata; Amphibia; Anura; Pelobatidae
Exons: 3
Source: RefSeq, a predicted model, not a curated record
ACAACAAAAAAAAACGCUUGGGGCGGCAAAGUGCCGCCCCUUCUAAAUUCAGGUAAGGGGGUGGGGGAGGGUUUUUGGGUAAGUAUGUGUGAUUAAUGUGUGAAGUAUGUGUGAUUAAUGGAAUGAAUGAGUAUUUAAAUGUUUGUGAAUUAUGUGUGAUUA